Molecule: RNA transcript, 804 nt
Organism: Humulus lupulus (European hop)
Lineage: Eukaryota; Viridiplantae; Streptophyta; Magnoliopsida; Rosales; Cannabaceae
Gene name: mRNA export factor GLE1-like
Exons: 4
Source: RefSeq, a predicted model, not a curated record
GAAGCUCAGAGAAGAGAAGCAAAAAAGGCUGCUGAAAGGGAGGCCAAUGAAGCAUCAAGCCAGGCUGCUGUUCAGAAGGAAGCUUUAGGAUUGCAAACUAAAGCCAAAACCAAGGAAUCUGAAUUUGAAAAACCAAUAAAUUCAGCAUCAGUAGGGGCUAUUGGUGGUAGGUGACAUUACUAAAGCUGCAGAAGCUGCACUAAAGUUGGAGCGUGAAAGAUUAAAAAAGUUGGAAGACUUGGAUGAAGGAAACAAGGCAUUAGGAUUGAAUGUAAAUAAGGAGGUUUCUACUGGUGUGAAAAAGUUAUUGAGGGAAUCGUCUGGCCAGUACAGCGACUUCAGUAUUCUUUCCUCUUUAAAUUCUCAGGUGUGUAGAUGUGACUGGAGCUUACAGUGCUCUAAAGACGGAGCUUAACAUAAGCUUGACAGCAAUAGGCCUUUUGUGGACUACAACUGGCUUUAUUGCAAAGAGGAUUACACAUGGACCUGUGGAAGAAAGGGAAACAGGUAUAUGACAAGUGCACAACAAAUGGACUCACAACAAAGACAAGUGCACAAAGGAUGAUGAAUUGAAGGAUGGAGCAAGUUUCAUGCAUGGUUUACUUUUGUGUAUCUUGUAAUUUUUUGUUUUUCAUUUUUGAAGUAAAAAAUGUUCAAGAUUAUAAAAAUUUAUUAUGUUAUGCUUUCAAACUUAAGUUAGAACUAAGAUCUCAUGAAAUAGACACAUUCAGAGUUUGAAUUAGUUAUUGUUUAAUGUAAUACUUAUGGUUUAUCAAUCUAUUGAGAAUUAUAUUUUAUGAUUAA